RNAcentral lists this ribosomal RNA (253 nucleotides) under uncultured bacterium. Its description in RNAcentral is "partial 16S ribosomal RNA". It matches the Rfam family "Bacterial small subunit ribosomal RNA", at positions 524 to 776 of the family's 1533-position model. The record is from RNAcentral.
UACAGAGGUCUCGAGCGUUAGGCGGAAUCACUGGGCUUAAAGCGUGUGUAGGUGGAUCGUUAAGUACCUUGUGAAAUCCCACGGCUUAACCGUGGAACUGCUUGGUAUACUGGCGGUCUUGAGCCAGCUAGGGGCUACCGGAACAAAUGGUGGAGCGGUGAAAUGCGUAGAUAUCAUUUGGAACGCCAAUGGUGAAAACAGGUAGCUGGGGCUGUGCUGGCACUGAGACACGAAAGCCAGGGGAGCAAACGGG